RNAcentral lists this ribosomal RNA (385 nucleotides) under Shigella flexneri. Its description in RNAcentral is "partial 23S ribosomal RNA". It matches the Rfam family "Bacterial large subunit ribosomal RNA", at positions 2463 to 2842 of the family's 2925-position model. The record is from RNAcentral. Lineage: Bacteria; Pseudomonadati; Pseudomonadota; Gammaproteobacteria; Enterobacterales; Enterobacteriaceae.
GUACUCCGGGGAUAACAGGCUGAUACCGCCCAAGAGUUCAUAUCGACGGCGGUGUUUGGCACCUCGAUGUCGGCUCAUCACAUCCUGGGGCUGAAGUAGGUCCCAAGGGUAUGGCUGUUCGCCAUUUAAAGUGGUACGCGAGCUGGGUUUAGAACGUCGUGAGACAGUUCGGUCCCUAUCUGCCGUGGGCGCUGGAGAACUGAGGGGGGCUGCUCCUAGUACGAGAGGACCGGAGUGGACGCAUCACUGGUGUUCGGGUUGUCAUGCCAAUGGCACUGCCCGGUAGCUAAAUGCGGAAGAGAUAAGUGCUGAAAGCAUCUAAGCACGAAACUUGCCCCGAGAUGAGUUCUCCCUGACCCUUUAAGGGUCCUGAAGGAACGUUGAA